This 253-nucleotide long non-coding RNA is filed under the name Salmo trutta (river trout). RNAcentral's name for it is "lncRNA (ENSSTUG00000003084.1)". The record is from RNAcentral. Lineage: Eukaryota; Metazoa; Chordata; Actinopteri; Salmoniformes; Salmonidae.
GACACGCAAGUUUCACAGGUUUGAUCGCCUCAUUCUGAAGGCUGUGGUCCUUUUAGUUCUGCAUCUGAAAUGUGAGAUGGGUAAAUCAGUGGUGUGAUGACACACAGGCUACCAGCAUCACUGCUAGGAGGAGACCACCAGCUGACACUGACCCCAAGAUGAGCGCAAUGGUCCUAGGUUGACAUGCUGGAGACGGUAAAUAGAUGAGCAUUAAUAAUAGCAAUACACACAUCAUCAACAUAAUCAUCAUAUU